This 489-nucleotide long non-coding RNA is filed under the name Chinchilla lanigera (long-tailed chinchilla). RNAcentral describes it as "lncRNA (ENSCLAG00000025438.1)". Lineage: Eukaryota; Metazoa; Chordata; Mammalia; Rodentia; Chinchillidae. The record is from RNAcentral.
GAAACCUGUUCUCUACAGAUACUAAAACUAUUGCUGUCUUGAUUUCACCUUCUCAGCCUCCUGAACUGUGAGAUACACAUUCCUAUUAUCUAUGAAUUAUCAAGUAUUGGAUAUUUUGUCAUUGUAACUCCAAUGGAUAUGACAGUGAAGCUUCACUUUUAAAAAGCAAUCAUGAAAACCCUGGGAAAGAAAAUCUGGUUUUAAUAUUCUGACAAUGGCUGAAUUACCGUGAUACUGACUGAAGCUUUGAUCAUGCAAGUGAAAUAAGGGCAUCAAAGGAUUUGGAAGACAUCCCGUGGCCCACACAUUCGAGUCAACAUGUGUGUUAACACAGUGUGCAAGAGAAAGAAUGUUGUUGAUAUUUUCAUGGAUCCAUAAGGGACAUCUAACUGAAGAGGAGAGAAUUCUACCUAUAUUCAUUAUGUUUUCUCUGUGAAACACAUUGUAACAUUAAAAUUGAUAUUAAAAUCACUACAGUCUACAUUUUUG